UUAUGAGAGCGCUGUAUCCGAAACGGAGGAAGGCGAUAUUUCAUCAGUCUUCACAUUGCAGGAAUCACGGGAAAAGAAAUCUUUGCUCCAGGCGUUCCGCAGAGUUAUCCGCUGGGGUGGCGUGCCCUUGAACAUGAUUAUUGACACGGGAUCGCCGUUUUCUAUCAUUCCGCAGGAGGUGUAUCUAAAGCACCGUCUGAGUUGGCCACGCUUAUCGAAAUGCAAACACACGCUCAACUGUUACUUGGGCAAGCUACCCAUUGUCGGUGAACUGCACCUUGAAGCCAAUUUUGCGGGGAAGACUGUACCUGCCACACUGAUAGUUACAGGCUGCUCGGGUCCUAGCCUUUGCGGAAGGGACUUAAUCCAAGCGUUCUCGCUUUUGCCGUCGGGGUUUCUCGCUGCGGUUCAACCGACGUCAGCAGAUCCCGACAGCUUCAGGACCGAGUUUCCUGCCCUUUUUGAGCCAGGACUUGGAAACAUUCAGGGGCCACCUGUGAAAUUCCACAUUCGAGAAGGCGCCCAACCGAAGUUCCACAAGGCGCGGUCAAUUCCUUAUGCUCUUCGUGAAAAAGUGGAAACUGAGCUGGACCGUUUAGUACAGCAAGGCAUACUAUCGCCCAUAGCACAUUCUGAGUGGGCAGCGCCAAUCGUACCAGUACUGAAGAAAGACGGUUCCCUUCGCAUCUGCGGCGAUUUCAAAACCACAAUCAAUGCUGCGUGCAUAACUGAGCAGUACCCUUUACCAAACAUUGAAGACAUUUUCGCGUCGCUACGUGGGGGAUCAUUUUUCACCACACUGGACCUUAAGGAUGCAUAUAACCAACUCCCAUUGGAUGAGGAGGCGAGGAAGUUGGCCGUGAUAAACACUCACAAGGGGUUGUUUUGCUAUAACCGUCUUCCGUUUGGAGUUGCCUCGGCUCCCGCGAUUUUCCAGCGGCGCAUGGAAACGGUCCUGGCCGGUCUUCCAGCCGUGCAGGUGUAUUUGGACGAUGUAUUGAUAGCGGAACGUCAAGACGAUAAUGGCUCAGUGCUUCGGGACGUUUUGCGCAGGCUUCAAGAAAAUGGUAUCAAGCUGAAGGCCGAAAAAUGCCAUUUUCGCAAAGACUCAAUCGUCUACCUGGGCCAUCGCAUUGACAAAGACGGCUUGCAUCCGCUUGAAAAGAACCUAGCAGCAAUACGCGACUCGCCACGGCCUACGAAUGUGAGCGAACUGCGUUCUUUCUUGGGUCUGUUGACUUAUUAUCACCGGUUCUUGCCACACAUGUCAACGAUGCUGGCACCGUUGUAUCUCUUGCUUGAAAAAGAGCAUAAAUGGCACUGGGGAACGGCGCAGGAAAAUUCAUAUCUCAAGGCUAAACAAACACUUCUGAGUUCGCCUGUUCUGACGUAUUUCGAUCCCAACCAACCAGUGCGUUUGGAAUGCGAUGCGUCACCUUCGGGUUUAGGUGCCGUAAUUUCGCACCGAAUUGGACAAUUGGAUAAGCCCAUUGCUUUCCGUUCACGCAUGUUAACACACGCCGAAAAGAAUUAUUCUCAGCUCGAGAAGGAAGCGCUCGCACUGGUGUUCGGAGUAACAAAGUUUCGAGACUACCUGCUGGGCCGCGAGUUUGUAUUGGUCACGGACCACCAACCACUGGUGGGACUUCUACGAGAAGAUCGACCUGUGCCCCCAAUGGCGUCGGCACGUAUUCAGAGAUGGGCUCUGUUUCUAAGCCAAUAUAGCUACCGCAUAGAGUACAAGGCCGGCAAGGAAAACGCCAACACGGACGCACUCAGCCGCUUGCCCGUGCCGAUAACAGACGUUUGUCGAUCGGGAACCUUACCAGAAUACGUAUUGUCUACAGAGACCCUUGACAGCUCGUUCGUGCCAGCGGAUGCCAUACGGGCGCUGACGAACGGAGAUGAAAACCUUAGCGUUGUGCAGCACUUUGUACUGAAUGGAUGGCCUAAACGCUUGUCACCUUGUCACAAUCACCUUCAACCUUAUUUUUGCAGAAGACUGGAGCUGUCAAGCGUAGAAGGCCUGCUCUACUGGGGUCAUCGCAUCGUCGUACCCCGCAAAGCGCGAGCCUCCAUGCUCGCUGAGCUACAUCGGUCACACCAGGGUGCAUCUGCGAUGAAAAGACUGGCUCGGACGCUGUUCUGGUGGCCUGGGUUGGAUGCCUCCCAGAUUCCAGUCCGGCGACCAGGUGUGGGUGCGCAACUUUGGCCAAGGGGAGCGUUGGCGUCCAGGCAUCGUCAAGAGCAUAGAGGGUUCACGCCUUGUAACGGUUGACACUCCAGAUGGCCUAGCCCGACGUCACUUCGACCAAAUUUCCCGUCGCGUGCCUGUGCCACACGUGACCCCAAAAGCGGAGGCGUCCGACUCGCUUCAACCCAGCCCGGACAACAAGCAUUGGCCCACGUCAACGCCAGAAGCCCGGUGCAGCCUGGCCACUCCAGAAGCAAGUGGCGCUACGCCUGUUCCUUCGACAACACCUCCAACGUCCGUCCCAGCCGAACAGGCUCUCUCUCCCCCAAGUCCGCCGGUCUUACGGAGGUCUACCCGACAACGAAGACCCGUGCAAAGACUGCACUUUUAAAGAAAGGGAGAAGUGAUAUGAAGUGCUGUGCCACACGUGUCAAACAUGAUUCGUUCUUUUUAUGUUACGUCAUAGGCAAGCAGCCUAUAUAUCUAGAUCGCUGUCGCUGAAAUAAAACAGUGCGGUACGUGCUCUUGGA
Dermacentor albipictus is the source of this 2724-nucleotide non-coding RNA. The record is from RefSeq and is a predicted model, not a curated record. Lineage: Eukaryota; Metazoa; Arthropoda; Arachnida; Ixodida; Ixodidae.